This 26-nucleotide non-coding RNA is filed under the name Mus musculus (house mouse). Lineage: Eukaryota; Metazoa; Chordata; Mammalia; Rodentia; Muridae. The record is from RNAcentral.
UGUGUCCUGUGUUGCCGUAAGAACAG